RNAcentral lists this ribosomal RNA (292 nucleotides) under uncultured bacterium. RNAcentral describes it as "partial 16S ribosomal RNA". It matches the Rfam family "Bacterial small subunit ribosomal RNA", at positions 505 to 796 of the family's 1533-position model. The record is from RNAcentral.
GUGUCAGCCGCCGCGGUAAUACAGAGGUCCCAAGCGUUGUUCGGAUUCACUGGGCGUAAAGGGUGCGUAGGUGGUCGGGUAAGUUUGAUGUGAAAGCUCUGGGCUCAACCCAGAAAUGGCAUUGAAUACUAUUUGGCUGGAGGAGUGGAGGGGGGACUGGAAUACUUGGUGUAGCAGUGAAAUGCGUAGAUAUCAAGUGGAACACCAGUGGCGAAGGCGAGUCCCUGGACAAUACCUGACACUGAGGCACGAAAUCUAGGGGAGCAAACAGGAUUAGAUACCCCUGUAGUCC